CGCGAAGAACCUUACCAGGUCUUGACAUACCGUUGACCGUCCCAGAGAUAGGAUUUUCCCUUCGGGGACAAUGGAUACAGGUGGUGCAUGGUUGUCGUCAGCUCGUGUCGUGAGAUGUUGGGUUAAGUCCCGCAACGAGCGCAACCCCUGUCGUUAGUUGCCAGCAUUCAGUUGGGGACUCUAACGAGACUGCCAGUGACAAACUGGAGGAAGGUGGGGAUGACGUCAAAUCAUCAUGCCCCUUAUGACCUGGGCUACACACGUGCUACAAUGGUUGGUACAAAGAGAAGCGAAGCGGUGACGUGGAGCAAACCUCAUAAAGCCAAUCUCAGUUCGGAUUGUAGGCCGCAACUCGCCUACAUGAAGUUGGAAUCGCUAGUAAUCGCGAAUCAGAAUGUCGCGGCGAAUACGUUCCCGGGUCUUGUACACACC
Molecule: ribosomal RNA, 432 nt
Filed under: uncultured bacterium
Lineage: Bacteria
Description: bacterial SSU rRNA
Rfam family: Bacterial small subunit ribosomal RNA
Source: RNAcentral